Xenopus tropicalis (tropical clawed frog) is the source of this 245-nucleotide long non-coding RNA. RefSeq lists it as uncharacterized. The record is from RefSeq and is a predicted model, not a curated record. Lineage: Eukaryota; Metazoa; Chordata; Amphibia; Anura; Pipidae. The transcript has 5 exons.
GAAGAGCUGAUAGUGGAGGCGAGCGCCGACACCCGCCCCUGCCACUACCAGGAAUCUUUAGAUGAGAGCCCUCAGCUUAACACCAGUGAGAGGGAACGAGAUCAAACAGAUUCCACCAUCAUUCAAUCUGUCGUGGAGGAGCCCACGGAAGAGCCCAAGCCACCGUUCUGCCUGGAACCAUCUGUUGGAUCUGGCAACUUUGUUUGUCAAGAACCAACAGAAACCCCUGGCAACAAUAACUGCCA